GCGCUUUCUUCAGUAGCACAUGUUUUAAAAUUGAAAUGCUAGAGAGAGGAUUGGCAUAGCCCUGUGCAAGGAGAUUCAUGUAAUGUUCCAUAUUUUU
Molecule: small nuclear RNA, 97 nt
Organism: Cavia aperea (Brazilian guinea pig)
Lineage: Eukaryota; Metazoa; Chordata; Mammalia; Rodentia; Caviidae
Source: Ensembl